RNAcentral lists this ribosomal RNA (436 nucleotides) under uncultured Saccharofermentans sp. RNAcentral's name for it is "bacterial SSU rRNA". It matches the Rfam family "Bacterial small subunit ribosomal RNA", at positions 341 to 792 of the family's 1533-position model. Lineage: Bacteria; Bacillati; Bacillota; Clostridia; Eubacteriales; Oscillospiraceae. The record is from RNAcentral.
ACGGAAGGCAGCAGUGGGGGAUAUUGCACAAUGGAGGAAACUCUGAUGCAGCAACGCCGCGUGAAGGAUGAAGGUCUUCGGAUUGUAAACUUCUUUAAUCGGGGAAGAAAAAAAUGACCUACCCGAAGAAUAAGCCACGGCUAACUACGUGCCAGCAGCCGCGGUAAUACGUAGGUGGCAAGCGUUAUCCGGAUUUACUGGGUGUAAAGGGCGUGUAGGCGGCUCUGCAAGUCAGAAGUGAAAUUCCCGGGCUCAACCUGGGCGCUGCUUCUGAAACUGCAGAACUUGAGUACUGGAGGGGAAAGCGGAAUUCCUAGUGUAGCGGUAAAAUGCGCAGAUAUUAGGAGGAACACCGGUGGCGAAGGCGGCUUUCUGGACAGUAACUGACGCUGAGGCGCGAAAGCGUGGGGAGCAAACAGGAUUAGAUACCCUGGUA